AAUCAACGCUGGCGGCGCGCCUAACACAUGCAAGUCGAACGAGAAAGCCGCAAGGCAAGUAAAGUGGCGUACGGGUGAGUAACACGUGGAUAAUCUACCUUUUAGUGGGGAAUACCGUUGGGAAACCGACGACAAUACCGCAUAAUCCCGAGAGGGGAAAGCCGUAAGGCGCUGAAAGAGGAGUCCGCGGUCGAUUUGGUAGUUGGCAGGGUAAAAGCCUACCAAGCCUGUGAUCGAUAGCCGGCCNGAGAGGGCACACGGCCACACUGGCACUGAAACACGGGCCAGACCCCUACGGGAGGCAGCAGUGGGGAAUCUUGCACAAUGGGGGAAACCCUGAUGCAGCGACGCCGCGUGAGCGAUGAACGCCCUU
Molecule: ribosomal RNA, 373 nt
Filed under: uncultured bacterium
Lineage: Bacteria
Description: bacterial SSU rRNA
Rfam family: Bacterial small subunit ribosomal RNA
Source: RNAcentral